UUGGAGGGCAAGUCUGGUGCCAGCAGCCGCGGUAAUUCCAGCUCCAAUAGCGUAUAUUAAAGUUGUUGUGGUUGAAAAGCUCGUAGUUGAACCUUGGGCCUGGCUGGCCGGUCCGCCUCACCGCGUGCACUGGUCCGGCCGGGCCUUUCCCUCUGCGGAACCCCAUGCCCUUCACUGGGUGUGGCGGGGAAACAGGACUUUUACUUGAAAAAAUUAGAGUGCUCAAGGCAGGCCUAUGCUCGAAUACAUUAGCAUGGAAUAAUAGAAUAGGACG
RNAcentral lists this ribosomal RNA (274 nucleotides) under uncultured Ascomycota. RNAcentral describes it as "partial 18S ribosomal RNA". It matches the Rfam family "Eukaryotic small subunit ribosomal RNA", at positions 548 to 829 of the family's 1831-position model. The record is from RNAcentral. Lineage: Eukaryota; Fungi; Ascomycota.